This 336-nucleotide unclassified non-coding RNA is filed under the name soil metagenome. RNAcentral describes it as "partial contains 5.8S ribosomal RNA, internal transcribed spacer 2, and large subunit ribosomal RNA". The stretch from base 1 to 120 matches the Rfam family "5.8S ribosomal RNA", at positions 35 to 154 of the family's 154-position model. The record is from RNAcentral.
GAUGAAGAACGCAGCGAAAUGCGAUAAGUAGUGUGAAUUGCAGAAUUCAGUGAAUCAUCGAAUCUUUGAACGCACAUUGCGCCCGCCAGUAUUCUGGCGGGCAUGCCUGUUCGAGCGUCAUUUCAACCAUCAAGCCCCUGGCUUGUGUUGGGGACCUGCGGCUGCCGCAGGCCCUGAAAACCAGUGGCGGGCUCGCUGUCACACCGGGCGUAGUAGAUUAUAUCUCGCUCAGGGCGUGCUGCGGGUUCCGGCCGUUAAAAAGCCUUAUUUACCCAAGGUUGACCUCGGAUCAGGUAGGAAUACCCGCUGAACUUAAGCAUAUCAAUAAGCGGAGGA